GGGCUGGGGCUCAGUGGUGGAGUGCUUGCCUAGCAUGUGUAAGGCCCUGAGUUCGAUCCUCAGCACCACA
RNAcentral lists this transfer RNA (70 nucleotides) under Marmota monax (woodchuck). RNAcentral's name for it is "tRNA.Ala". Lineage: Eukaryota; Metazoa; Chordata; Mammalia; Rodentia; Sciuridae. The record is from RNAcentral.